AUUGAACGCUGGCGGCAUGCCUUACACAUGCAAGUCGAACGGCAGCACGGGUGCUUGCACCUGGUGGCGAGUGGCGAACGGGUGAGUAAUACAUCGGAACAUGUCCUGUAGUGGGGGAUAGCCCGGCGAAAGCCGGAUUAAUACCGCAUACGAUCUACGGAUGAAAGCGGGGGACCUUCGGGCCUCGCGCUAUAGGGUUGGCCGAUGGCUGAUUAGCUAGUUGGUGGGGUAAAGGCCUACCAAGGCGACGAUCAGUAGCUGGUCUGAGAGGACGACCAGCCACACUGGGACUGAGACACGGCCCAGACUCCUACGGGAGGCAGCAGUGGGGAAUUUUGGACAAUGGGCGAAAGCCUGAUCCAGCAAUGCCGCGUGUGUGAAGAAGGCCUUCGGGUUGUAAAGCACUUUUGUCCGGAAAGAAAUCCUUGGCCCUAAGACGGUCGGGGGAUGACGGUACCGGAAGAAUAAGCACCGGCGAACUACGU
RNAcentral lists this ribosomal RNA (485 nucleotides) under uncultured bacterium. RNAcentral's name for it is "partial 16S ribosomal RNA". It matches the Rfam family "Bacterial small subunit ribosomal RNA", at positions 30 to 506 of the family's 1533-position model. The record is from RNAcentral.